UUGAACGCCUUUUUUUAACCUAAAAGGGGGGCGGGAGGGAGAUUUGAUUAUGCACCCAAUUAUCCACAUCAGUUUCAAUACUAUUCCCAUGCUCUUCAUGAGUUUGAUUUUCAAUUUACUUGUUGCUUAAGCGCUCUAGAGAAUUUUAUGAAAAUGAGAGAGUUAAGGACAACAUUGCAGCUUGGGAUCACCUAUGACAUUGAUAUUGGUAAAUUGCUGACAAAUUGGGAAGUAUAGUCGUUGCAAUAUCUUCCCAACCCAGUCAAAGGAAAUUAUAAUAUAGUGAGCAGA
Molecule: unclassified non-coding RNA, 291 nt
Filed under: Hevea brasiliensis (rubber tree)
Lineage: Eukaryota; Viridiplantae; Streptophyta; Magnoliopsida; Malpighiales; Euphorbiaceae
Source: RNAcentral